This 256-nucleotide ribosomal RNA is filed under the name Rhodococcus sp. ISO173_OTU783. RNAcentral describes it as "partial 16S ribosomal RNA". It matches the Rfam family "Bacterial small subunit ribosomal RNA", at positions 29 to 289 of the family's 1533-position model. The record is from RNAcentral. Lineage: Bacteria; Bacillati; Actinomycetota; Actinomycetes; Mycobacteriales; Nocardiaceae. RNAcentral also lists the same sequence under 2 other names.
ACGAACGCUGGCGGCGUGCUUAACACAUGCAAGUCGAGCGGUAAGGCCUUUCGGGGUACACGAGCGGCGAACGGGUGAGUAACACGUGGGUGAUCUGCCCUGCACUUCGGGAUAAGCCUGGGAAACUGGGUCUAAUACCGGAUAUGACCUCAGGUUGCAUGACUUGGGGUGGAAAGAUUUAUCGGUGCAGGAUGGGCCCGCGGCCUAUCAGCUUGUUGGUGGGGUAAUGGCCUACCAAGGCGACGACGGGUAGCCG